GACGAACGCUGGCGGCGUGCUUAACACAUGCAAGUCGAACGGAAAGGCCCUGCUUUUGUGGGGUGCUCGAGUGGCGAACGGGUGAGUAACACGUGAGUAACCUGCCCUUGACUUUGGGAUAACUUCAGGAAACUGGGGCUAAUACCGGAUAGGAGCUCCUGCUGCAUGGUGGGGGUUGGAAAGUUUCGGCGGUUGGGGAUGGACUCGCGGCUUAUCAGCUUGUUGGUGGGGUAGUGGCUUACCAAGGCUUUGACGGGUAGCCGGCCUGAGAGGGUGACCGGCCAGAUGGGGGGUAGGAUAGGGACAAGAAGCGUAAGGGAGGGAGACGUGGGGAAGCGUGCACAAUGGGGGGAAGCCUGACGCAGGGACGCAGAGCGCGGGAGGACGGGAUGAGGGGUGGAAAACGAUUUCGGAGGAAAAGACGCGUGAUUGCUGGGAAGGGGUAGAGAAGCAAAGGGUAAGGAAGUG
RNAcentral lists this ribosomal RNA (468 nucleotides) under uncultured bacterium. RNAcentral's name for it is "partial 16S ribosomal RNA". The stretch from base 15 to 371 matches the Rfam family "Bacterial small subunit ribosomal RNA", at positions 42 to 397 of the family's 1533-position model. The record is from RNAcentral.